CCAGCCAUGCCGCGUGUGUGAAGAAGGUCUUCGGAUUGUAAAGCACUUUCAGUNGGGAGGAAGGGCAGUAAGUUAAUACCUUGCUGUAUUGACGUUACCCACAGAAGAAGCACCGGCUAACUCCGUGCCAGCAGCCGCGGUAAUACGGAGGGUGCAAGCGUUAAUCGGAAUUACUGGGCGUAAAGCGCGCGCAGGCGGUUUGUUAAGUUGGAUGUGAAAUCCCCGGGCUCAACCUGGGAACUGCAUUCAAAACUGGCAAGCUAGAGUCUGGUAGAGGGGGGUGGAAUUUCNGGUGUAGCGGUGAAAUGCGUAGAGAUCNGGAGGAACACCCGGUGGCGAAGGCGACCCCCUGGACA
This 356-nucleotide ribosomal RNA is filed under the name gamma proteobacterium SCGC AAA044-J08. RNAcentral's name for it is "bacterial SSU rRNA". It matches the Rfam family "Bacterial small subunit ribosomal RNA", at positions 388 to 735 of the family's 1533-position model. The record is from RNAcentral. Lineage: Bacteria; Pseudomonadati; Pseudomonadota; Gammaproteobacteria.